RNAcentral lists this ribosomal RNA (638 nucleotides) under Amanita incarnatifolia. Its description in RNAcentral is "LSU rRNA". It matches the Rfam family "Eukaryotic large subunit ribosomal RNA", at positions 44 to 657 of the family's 3401-position model. Lineage: Eukaryota; Fungi; Basidiomycota; Agaricomycetes; Agaricales; Amanitaceae. The record is from RNAcentral.
CAAUAAGCGGAGGAAAAGAAACUAACAAGGAUUCCCCUAGUAACUGCGAGUGAAGCGGGAAAAGCUCAAAUUUAAAAUCUGGCAGUCUUUGGCUGUCCGAAUUGUAAUCUAGAGAAGUGUUGCCCACACUGGACCGUGUAUAAGUCUUCUGGAAUGAAGCGUCAUAGAGGGUGAGAAUCCCGUCUUUGACAUGGACUCCCAGUGUAUUGUGGCGUGCUCUCAAAGAGUCGAGUUGUUUGGGAAUGCAGCUCUAAAUGGGUGGUAACCUCCAUCUAAAGCUAAAUAUUGGCGAGAGACCGAUAGUGAACAAGUACCGUGAGGGAAAGAUGAAAAGAACUUUGGAAAGAGAGUUAAACAGUACGUGAAAUUGUUGAAAGGGAAACGCUUGAAGUCAGUCACAUUGGCCAGGGAUCAGCCCAGCUCUUUUGCUAAGUGCACUUCCUGGUUUGAUGGGCCAAUAUCAGUUUUUGACUGCCAGAGAAGGGCAGAAGGAAUGUGGCACCUUCCGGGGUGUGUUAUAGCCUUUUGUCAUAUAUGGCAGUUGGGACUGAGGAAUGCAGCGCGCCCACAAGGGCCGGGUUUCGACCACGUUCGCGCUUUGGAUGUUGGCRAUAAUGGCUUUAAUCGACCCGUCUUGA